Oncorhynchus keta (chum salmon) is the source of this 196-nucleotide long non-coding RNA. RefSeq lists it as uncharacterized. The transcript is spliced from 3 exons. Lineage: Eukaryota; Metazoa; Chordata; Actinopteri; Salmoniformes; Salmonidae. The record is from RefSeq and is a predicted model, not a curated record.
AGAGGUUAGAAUACUGUGAGAGGUUAGAAUACUGUUAGAGGGGGUUAGAAUACUGUGAGAUAGAGGGGGUUAGAAUACUGUUAGAGGAGGUUAGAAUACUGUUAGAGGAGGUUAGAAUACUGUUAGAGGAGGUUAGAAUACUGUUAGAGGAGGUUAGAAUACUGUUAGAGGGGGUUAGAAUACUGUGAGAUAGAGG